This 1062-nucleotide ribosomal RNA is filed under the name Salmonella enterica subsp. enterica serovar Anatum. RNAcentral describes it as "partial 23S ribosomal RNA". It matches the Rfam family "Bacterial large subunit ribosomal RNA", at positions 593 to 1663 of the family's 2925-position model. Lineage: Bacteria; Pseudomonadati; Pseudomonadota; Gammaproteobacteria; Enterobacterales; Enterobacteriaceae. The record is from RNAcentral.
GUGACUGCGUACCUUUUGUAUAAUGGGUCAGCGACUUAUAUUCUGUAGCAAGGUUAACCGAAUAGGGGAGCCGGAGGGAAACCGAGUCUUAAUUGGGCGUUAAGUUGCAGGGUAUAGACCCGAAACCCGGUGAUCUAGCCAUGGGCAGGUUGAAGGUUGGGUAACACUAACUGGAGGACCGAACCGACUAAUGUUGAAAAAUUAGCGGAUGACCUGUGGCUGGGGGUGAAAGGCCAAUCAAACCGGGAGAUAGCUGGUUCUCCCCGAAAGCUAUUUAGGUAGCGCCUCGUGAAUUCAUCUCCGGGGGUAGAGCACUGUUUCGGCUAGGGGGCCAUCCCGGCUUACCAACCCGAUGCAAACUGCGAAUACCGGAGAAUGUUAUCACGGGAGACACACGGCGGGUGCUAACGUCCGUCGUGAAGAGGGAAACAACCCAGACCGCCAGCUAAGGUCCCAAAGUCAUGGUUAAGUGGGAAACGAUGUGGGAAGGCCCAGACAGCCAGGAUGUUGGCUUAGAAGCAGCCAUCAUUUAAAGAAAGCGUAAUAGCUCACUGGUCGAGUCGGCCUGCGCGGAAGAUGUAACGGGGCUAAACCAUGCACCGAAGCUGCGGCAGCGACACUCAGGUGUUGUUGGGUAGGGGAGCGUUCUGUAAGCCUGUGAAGGUGGCCUGUGAGGGUUGCUGGAGGUAUCAGAAGUGCGAAUGCUGACAUAAGUAACGAUAAAGCGGGUGAAAAGCCCGCUCGCCGGAAGACCAAGGGUUCCUGUCCAACGUUAAUCGGGGCAGGGUGAGUCGACCCCUAAGGCGAGGCCGAAAGGCGUAGUCGAUGGGAAACGGGUUAAUAUUCCCGUACUUGGUGUUACUGCGAAGGGGGGACGGAGAAGGCUAUGUUGGCCGGGCGACGGUUGUCCCGGUUUAAGCGUGUAGGUGUGUGUUCCAGGUAAAUCCGGAACACUGAGGCGUGAUGACGAGGCACUACGGUGCUGAAGCAACAAAUGCCCUGCUUCCAGGAAAAGCCUCUAAGCAUCAGGUAACAUCAAAUCGUACCCCAAACCGACACAGG